Molecule: ribosomal RNA, 1292 nt
Filed under: Clostridioides difficile
Lineage: Bacteria; Bacillati; Bacillota; Clostridia; Peptostreptococcales; Peptostreptococcaceae
Description: partial 23S ribosomal RNA
Rfam family: Bacterial large subunit ribosomal RNA
Source: RNAcentral
GGUCAAGUUAUUAAGGGUGCAGGGCGGAUGCCUUGGCACUAGGAGCCGAUGAAGGACGUGAUAAGCUGCGAUAAGCUUCGGGGAGUUGCACGUAAACUUUGAUCCGAAGAUUUCCGAAUGAGGAAACUCACUUAGAGUAAUGUCUAAGUAUCAUUAAGUGAAUACAUAGCUUAAUGAGGGGAACUCAGGGAACUGAAACAUCUAAGUACCUGAAGGAAGAGAAAGAAAUUCGAUUCCGUAAGUAGCGGCGAGCGAACGCGGAUUAGCCCAAACCAAUAAAGUUUUCUUUAUUGGGGUUGCGGACAUAUCAUAACGAAGAGGUAUCGUAAUUGAAGAGGUUUGGAAAGACCCACCACAGAAGGUAAUAGUCCUGUAUGUUAAACGAGAAGACUUUAGAUAUGAUCCAGAGUACCACGGGACACGUGAAACCCUGUGGGAAGCAGGAGGGACCACCCUCCAAGGCUAAAUACUACCUAGUGACCGAUAGCGUAUAGUACCGUGAGGGAAAGGUGAAAAGAACCCCGGGAGGGGAGUGAAAUAGAACCUGAAACCCUGCACUUACAAGCUGUGGAAGCACAUUUCUUGUGUGACCGCGUACUUUUUGUAGAACGGGCCAACGAGUUACGUUAAGUAGCAAGGUUAAGCACUUAAGGUGCGGAGCCGUAGCGAAAGCGAGUUUUAACUGAGCGUUCAGUUACUUGACGUAGACCCGAAACCGGGCGACCUACCCAUGAGCAGGAUGAAGCGAAAGUAAAAUUUCGUGGAGGUCCGAACCCACGAGCGUUGAAAAGCUCGGGGAUGACUUGUGGGUAGCGGUGAAAUUCCAAUCGAGCCCGGAGAUAGCUGGUUCUCCCCGAAAUAGCUUUAGGGCUAGCCUCAAGGUGAGAGAUACGGAGGUAGAGCACUGAAUGUCCUAGGGGGUAUUGCACCUACCGAAGACUAUCAAACUCCGAAUGCCGUCAUCUUAUACUUGGGAGUCAGACUGUGGGUGAUAAGAUUCAUAGUCGAAAGGGCAACAGCCCAGAUCGUCAGCUAAGGUCCCUAAAUGUAAGUUAAGUGGUAAAGGAUGUGGGAUUGCACAGACAACCAGGAUGUUGGCUUAGAAGCAGCCACUCAUUCAAAGAGUGCGUAAUAGCUCACUGGUCGAGUGAUCCUGCGCCGAAGAUUUCCGGGGCUAAAACUUACUACCGAAGCUACGGCAUCAGUAAUGAUGGGUAGGGGAGCUUCCCAUACGGGUUGAAGCAUGACCGUAAGGACAUGUGGACAGUAUGGGAGUGAGAAUGUUGGCAUGA